This 506-nucleotide ribosomal RNA is filed under the name uncultured bacterium. RNAcentral describes it as "partial 16S ribosomal RNA". It matches the Rfam family "Bacterial small subunit ribosomal RNA", at positions 29 to 523 of the family's 1533-position model. The record is from RNAcentral.
AGUGAACGCUGGCGGUAGGCCUAACACAUGCAAGUCGAACGGCAGCACAGGAGAGCUUGCUCUCUGGGUGGCGAGUGGCGGACGGGUGAGGAAUACAUCGGAAUCUACUCUGUCGUGGGGGAUAACGUAGGGAAACUUACGCUAAUACCGCAUACGACCUACGGGUGAAAGCAGGGGACCUUCGGGCCUUGCGCGAUUGAACGAGCCGAUGUCGGAUUAGCUAGUUGGCGGGGUAAAGGCCCACCAAGGCGACGAUCCGUAGCUGGUCUGAGAGGAUGAUCAGCCACGCUGGAACUGAGACACGGUCCAGACUCCUACGGGAGGCAGCAGUGGGGAAUAUUGGGCAAUGGGCGCAAGCCUGAUCCAGCCAUACCGCGUGGGUGAAGAAGGCCUACGGGUUGUAAAGCCCUUUUGUUGGGAAAGAAAUCCAGCUGGCUAAUACCCGGUUGGGAUGACGGUACCCAAAGAAUAAGCACCGGCUAACUUCGUGCCAGCAGCCGCCGUAA